AACGCGAAGAACCUUACCAGGUCUUGACAUCCCUCUGACCGUCCUAGAGAUAGGGCUUUCCUUCGGGACAGAGGAGACAGGUGGUGCAUGGUUGUCGUCAGCUCGUGUCGUGAGAUGUUGGGUUAAGUCCCGCAACGAGCGCAACCCUUGAACUUAGUUGCCAGCACGUUAAGGUGGGCACUCUAGGUUGACUGCCGGUGACAAACCGGAGGAAGGCGGGGAUGACGUCAAAUCAUCAUGCCCCUUAUGACCUGGGCUACACACGUACUACAAUGGCCGGUACAACGGGUCGCGAAGCCGCGAGGCGGAGCCAAUCCCAGCAAAGCCGGUCUCAGUUCGGAUUGCAGGCUGCAACUCGCCUGCAUGAAGUCGGAAUUGCUAGUAAUCGCGGAUCAGCAUGCCGCGGUGAAUACGUUCCCGGGCCUUGUA
This 429-nucleotide ribosomal RNA is filed under the name uncultured Bacillota bacterium. RNAcentral's name for it is "bacterial SSU rRNA". It matches the Rfam family "Bacterial small subunit ribosomal RNA", at positions 958 to 1385 of the family's 1533-position model. The record is from RNAcentral. Lineage: Bacteria; Bacillati; Bacillota.